CGCUGGCGGCGUGCUUCAUACAUGCAGGUCGAACGAGAAUCUCUAGCUUGCUAGAGAGGAAGUGGCGGACGGGUGUGUAAAAUGUAGAGAAUCUGCCCUAGAGAGUGGGACAACAGAGGGAAACUUCUGCUAAUACCGCAUAUGAGCGUAGCUGAAAUGCUAUUCUUGAAAACUCCGGUGCUCUAGGAUGAGUCUGCAUCUGAUUAGCUAGUUGGCGGUGUAAUGGACCACCAAGGCGACGAUCAGUAGCUGGUUUGAGAGGAUGAUCAGCCACAAUGGGACUGAGACACGGCCCAUACUCCUACGGGAGGCAGCAGUAGGGAAUUUUGCGCAAUGGGCGAAAGCCUGACGCCAGCAACGCCGCGUGACCGAUGAAGCCCUUCGGGGUGUAAAGGUCUGUCAGUGGGGACGAAACUUGACGGUACCCACAGAGGAAGCAUCGGCUAACUCCGUGCCAGCAGCCGC
RNAcentral lists this ribosomal RNA (465 nucleotides) under uncultured bacterium. RNAcentral describes it as "bacterial SSU rRNA". It matches the Rfam family "Bacterial small subunit ribosomal RNA", at positions 34 to 518 of the family's 1533-position model. The record is from RNAcentral.